Long non-coding RNA from Cynoglossus semilaevis (tongue sole), 204 nucleotides. RefSeq lists it as uncharacterized. The record is from RefSeq and is a predicted model, not a curated record. NCBI's taxonomy places the organism in Eukaryota, Metazoa, Chordata, Actinopteri, Pleuronectiformes, Cynoglossidae. The transcript has 3 exons.
UGGAUGUGUACUUUCUGUAUAGCCAAUCAGGAUUGGCUACAGCAUCCUGAGCGGGGAAUGGACGCAGCCAUGUCACUCUCUGUUUCAUAUCACAUGUUGGAAUGUCAGUGUUUCCUCCUGUGUCUGCUCACCGCUGAGGAAAUGCGAGCACCUGCUUUAAACCCCAGCCCUGAUCCACAUCUGGACAGAGACAACCACAUCCGG